RNAcentral lists this ribosomal RNA (459 nucleotides) under uncultured bacterium. RNAcentral describes it as "partial 16S ribosomal RNA". It matches the Rfam family "Bacterial small subunit ribosomal RNA", at positions 338 to 795 of the family's 1533-position model. The record is from RNAcentral.
CCUACGGGAGGCAGCAGUGAGGAAUAUUGGGCAAUGGACGGAAGUCUGAACCAGCCAUGCCGCGUGCAUGAAGACGGCUCUAUGAGUUGUAAACUGCUUUUGUACAAGGGUAAACCUUAAUACGUGUAUUCAGCUGAAAGUACUCUACGAAUAAGGAUCGGCUAACUCCGUGCCAGCAGCCGCGGUAAUACGGGGGAUUCGAGCGUUGUCCGGAUUUAUUGGGUUUAAAGGGUGCGCAGGCGGAUUUUUAAGUCAGCGGUCAAAUCGUGGGGCUCAACCCCAUCCAGCCGUUGAAACUGGGGAUCUAGAGUGUGCGAGGGGUAUGCGGAAUGCGUGGUGUAGCGGUGAAAUGCGUAGAUAUCACGCAGAACCCCGGUUGCGAAGGCAGCAUACCGGUGCACAACUGACGCUGAGGCACGAAAGCGUGGGUAUCGAACAGGAUUAGAUACCCCAGUAGUC